GAACGCUAGCGGGAGGCCUAACACAUGCAAGCCGAGCGGUAGAGUGUCUUCGGAUACUUGAGAGCGGCGUACGGGUGCGGAACACGUGUGCAACCUGCCUUUAUCUGAGGGAUAGCCUUUCGAAAGGAAGAUUAAUACCUCAUAAUAUACUGAUUGGCAUCAAUUAGUAUUGAAAGCUCCGGCGGAUAGAGAUGGGCACGCGCAAGAUUAGAUAGUUGGUGAGGUAACGGCUCACCAAGUCAAUGAUCUUUAGGGGGCCUGAGAGGGUGAUCCCCCACACUGGUACUGAGACACGGACCAGACUCCUACGGGAGGCAGCAGUGAGGAAUAUUGGACAAUGGGUGCAAGCCUGAUCCAGCCAUCCCGCGUGAAGGACGACGGCCCUAUGGGUUGUAAACUUCUUUUGUGCAGGGAUAAACCUACUCUCGUGAGGGUAGCUGAAGGUACUGUACGAAUAAGCACCGGCUAACUCCGUGCCAGCCGCCGCGGUAAUUCGUCGUGACUGGGAAACCCCCUGGCGA
Molecule: ribosomal RNA, 521 nt
Filed under: Riemerella anatipestifer
Lineage: Bacteria; Pseudomonadati; Bacteroidota; Flavobacteriia; Flavobacteriales; Weeksellaceae
Description: bacterial SSU rRNA
Rfam family: Bacterial small subunit ribosomal RNA
Source: RNAcentral